UGGGGAAUAUUGCACAAUGGGGGAAACCCUGAUGCAGCGACGCCGCGUGAACGAAGAAGGUUUUCGUAUCGUAAAGUUCUGUCCUAUGGGAAGAUAAUGACAGUACCAUAGAAGAAAGCUCCGGCUAAAUACGUGCCAGCAGCCGCGGUAAUACGUAUGGAGCGAGCGUUGUCCGGAAUUAUUGGGCGUAAAGGGUACGCAGGCGGUUUAAUAAGUCGAAUGUUAAAGAUCGGGGCUCAACCCCGUAAAGCAUUGGAAACUGAUAAACUUGAAUAGUGGAGAAGAAAGUGGAAUUCCUAGUGUAGUGGUGAAAUACGUAGAUAUUAGGAGGAAUACCAGUAGCGAAGGCGACUUUCUGGACACAAACUGACGCUGAGGUACGAAAGCGUGGGGAGCAAACAGG
RNAcentral lists this ribosomal RNA (403 nucleotides) under Actinomycetes bacterium. RNAcentral describes it as "Actinobacteria bacterium partial 16S ribosomal RNA". It matches the Rfam family "Bacterial small subunit ribosomal RNA", at positions 355 to 776 of the family's 1533-position model. The record is from RNAcentral. Lineage: Bacteria; Bacillati; Actinomycetota; Actinomycetes.